RNAcentral lists this non-coding RNA (30 nucleotides) under Rattus norvegicus (Norway rat). Lineage: Eukaryota; Metazoa; Chordata; Mammalia; Rodentia; Muridae. The record is from RNAcentral.
UGGAUUAAGAUGAAGAACUCUCAGCUGCUU